This is a long non-coding RNA of Peromyscus eremicus (cactus mouse), 1412 nucleotides long. RefSeq lists it as uncharacterized. Lineage: Eukaryota; Metazoa; Chordata; Mammalia; Rodentia; Cricetidae. The record is from RefSeq and is a predicted model, not a curated record. The transcript is spliced from 4 exons.
CCCCCGAGCGUAUUCUUCCAGACUCCGUCCACGCCACGGCCACCUCCCGUCCCCGCCCACCCACUCGGGCCCCGGAAUCUCACGAUUCCACUUCUCAGGCCUGGGAGAUCGCACGGGGAGCGCUUCCGACGCCGGGGCCCAGCUGCGGCCCCCCGGGAACUCGGCCGGUGUGAACCGCCGUGAGUCGGCGGCGCUCGGUCCCGGCCGAGCCCGGCCCCGUCCCUCGCCGCCACCCCGAGUCCAUUACCAGAGCACAAGACCGGCACGAGCAGCAGCGCCAACACCAGCGACCGCGCCAGCACGCCGAGGCCCCGGGCACCCGGCCCGGGAAGCAGCUUCUCUCGCGCAGCCCCGCUCAUUCUGCCCAGGGUGGCGGCGGCCAUAACGGACUCGGCCCCGAGCCUGCGCUGUUGCUAGGGUCUGCGUGGUGACGUCAGGUACGCGUCCGAAGGCGCGCGCCCGAAGCCCCUACGUCCCGACGACGUGAUGACGCCGCAUCCCCGAAGCUGGAAGGAGCCAGGAAAGUUAACACGGAAUUGCAGAGGGGAGCUGAGAAAGGUGUGUGCAUGCUUCUCAGCAGCUAGGAUCGGGACACCAGUGCUCGGGAAGUCACAAUUUCAUCUGUGGACUCUACAGAUUGACAAAGGACCCGCACAUCCCCAGCUUCCACCUGGGGCCUGACAUCUCUAGAGGGGCUCCUCCCCAGCCCACGUCUACAGCUAAAAGGACCCUUUCAGGAAUGGGGUUUUUGCUGUACCUCUGAAAUGGUAAACACCUUAAAGCCGAGUCAUCCUUAGCCUGGAGAUCUAACGUGGUACUUAUCAAUUCUCGCAUCCCCAACAUACAACAUUAAAAGGUACACUAAAUUCUGAAGGUAGCUAUACUGCAAAAUAGUUUAAAAUUAACGAUUGUACAAUAUUCAUUUAUGCUUGAAAUUCCAGUCCUAGACCAAGCUUGUGGCCACCCGCAUUGACAUUCUUGCCAUCCAGCAGAGCUGACAGGGUACAAUCGGCAGUGGCCAAACGUGGUAACCUUUCAGGAUGCGUUGUGUAGUAAUACAAGCUGGCCCGCUGGUGUCCUCAGAUGAAGACGUGCAACGGCCAUGACCGGUAGACAGAGCAGAAACCCGGCUGGAACGUCCACCUUCCUUCCCCCUCAUGUCUCCCCCAUCACGAUGAGCAUUUGACCUCUGGUAGCACACGUGGGGAUGACUGACAGGCUAAAUUUGACAACAGCCUGGAAUUAACAAGUCUCACACCCCAGGAAAAGGAUGGAAGAAAAUAACCAGAGACGUACCAUGAUAUUUACAGACACUUUCCUUCUGGCUUUCUAUUUCUCACUCUUUUUUUCUUUUGACAAUGACCCCACAACUCCUUUAUAAACAUUCAACUAUAAAAGUUUAUAUACACUCA